ACUCCUACGGGAGGCAGCAGUGGGGAAUAUUGCACAAUGGGCGCAAGCCUGAUGCAGCCAUGCCGCGUGUAUGAAGAAGGCCUUCGGGUUGUAAAGUACUUUCAGCAGUGAGGAAGGUAUCGUAGUUAAUAGCUGCGGUAUUUGACGUUAGCUGCAGAAGAAGCACCGGCUAACUCCGUGCCAGCAGCCGCGGUAAUACGGAGGGUGCGAGCGUUAAUCGGAAUUACUGGGCGUAAAGCGCAUGCAGGUGGUUUGUUAAGUCAGAUGUGAAAGCCCGGGGCUCAACCUCGGAAUUGCAUUUGAAACUGGCAGACUAGAGUACUGUAGAGGGGGGUAGAAUUUCAGGUGUAGCGGUGAAAUGCGUAGAGAUCUGAAGGAAUACCGGUGGCGAAGGCGGCCCCCUGGACAGAUACUGACACUCAGAUGCGAAAGCGUGGGGAGCAAACAGGAUUAGAUACCCUGGUAGCACAGAG
RNAcentral lists this ribosomal RNA (473 nucleotides) under uncultured bacterium. RNAcentral describes it as "bacterial SSU rRNA". It matches the Rfam family "Bacterial small subunit ribosomal RNA", at positions 335 to 799 of the family's 1533-position model. The record is from RNAcentral.